RNAcentral lists this non-coding RNA (23 nucleotides) under Cricetulus griseus (Chinese hamster). Lineage: Eukaryota; Metazoa; Chordata; Mammalia; Rodentia; Cricetidae. The record is from RNAcentral.
AGCUUAUACAGGAAUCGUCCAAG